GACGAACGCUGGCGGCGUGCUUAACACAUGCAAGUCGAACGAACAGGCCCUGCUUUUGUGGGGUGCUCGUGUGGCGCACGCGUGAGUAACACGUGAGUAAACUGUCCUUGAAUUUCGGAUAACUUUAGGGAAAUGCGGCUCAUACCGGAUAGGAGCUCUUGCUCCGUGUUGUUGGUUGGUAAGUUUUGGCUGUUCGGUCUGGACUCGCGGCGUAUCCGCUUGUUGGUGUGGUAGUUGCUUACCAAGGCUGCGACGGGUAGCCCACAUGAGAGGCUGGUCGGCCACACUGGAACUGAGACACGGACCAGAGUCCUACGGGAGGCAGCAGUAGGGAAUCUGCCGCAAUGGGCGGAAGCCUGACGGAGCAACGCCGCGUGAGUGAUGAAGGUCGUCGGAUCGUAAAACUCUGUUAUUAGGGAAGAACAAAUGUGUAAGUAACUAUGCACGUCUUGACGGGACCUAAUCAAAAAGCCACGGCUAACUACGUG
Molecule: ribosomal RNA, 488 nt
Filed under: uncultured bacterium
Lineage: Bacteria
Description: partial 16S ribosomal RNA
Rfam family: Bacterial small subunit ribosomal RNA
Source: RNAcentral